ACAUGCAAGUCGAACGAGAUCUUCGGAUCUAGUGGCGCACGGGUGCGUAACGCGUGGGAAUCUGCCCUUGGGUUCGGAAUAACUUCUGGAAACGGAAGCUAAUACCGGAUGAUGACGUAAGUCCAAAGAUUUAUCGCCCAAGGAUGAGCCCGCGUAGGAUUAGCUAGUUGGUGGGGUAAAGGCCCACCAAGGCGACGAUCCUUAGCUGGUCUGAGAGGAUGAUCAGCCACACUGGGACUGAGACACGGCCCAGACUCCUACGGGAGGCAGCAGUAGGGAAUAUUGGACAAUGGGCGAAAGCCUGAUCCAGCAAUGCCGCGUGAGUGAUGAAGGCCUUAGGGUUGUAAAGCUCUUUUACCCGGGAUGAUAAUGACAGUACCGGGAGAAUAAGCUCCGGCUAACUCCGUGCCAGCAGCCGCGGUAAUACGGAGGGAGCUAGCGUUGUUCGGAAUUACUGGGCGUAAAGCGCACGUAGGCGGCUAUUCAAGUCAGAGGUGAAAGCCCGGGGCUCAACCCCGGAACUGCCUUUGAAACUAGAUAGCUUGAAUCCAGGAGAGGUGAGUGGAAUUCCGAGUGUAGAGGUGAAAUUCGUAGAUAUUCGGAAGAACACCAGUGGCGAAGGCGGCUCACUGGACUGGUAUUGACGCUGAGGUGCGAAAGCGUGGGGAG
Molecule: ribosomal RNA, 669 nt
Filed under: uncultured Alphaproteobacteria bacterium
Lineage: Bacteria; Pseudomonadati; Pseudomonadota; Alphaproteobacteria
Description: bacterial SSU rRNA
Rfam family: Bacterial small subunit ribosomal RNA
Source: RNAcentral